RNAcentral lists this transfer RNA (72 nucleotides) under Candidatus Hydrogenedentes bacterium CG1_02_42_14. RNAcentral's name for it is "tRNA-Met". It matches the Rfam family "tRNA". Rfam says of the family: Transfer RNA (tRNA) molecules are approximately 80 nucleotides in length. Their secondary structure includes four short double-helical elements and three loops (D, anti-codon, and T loops). The record is from RNAcentral. Lineage: Bacteria; Pseudomonadati; Candidatus Hydrogenedentota. RNAcentral also lists the same sequence under 4 other names.
CGCGGGGUGGAGCAGUGGUAGCUCGUUGGGCUCAUAACCCAAAGGUCGGAGGUUCAAAUCCUUCCCCCGCAA